This 432-nucleotide ribosomal RNA is filed under the name uncultured bacterium. Its description in RNAcentral is "partial 16S ribosomal RNA". It matches the Rfam family "Bacterial small subunit ribosomal RNA", at positions 29 to 507 of the family's 1533-position model. The record is from RNAcentral.
ACGAACGCUGGCGGCAUGCCUAACACAUGCAAGUCGAACGAGACCUUCGGGUCUAGUGGCGCACGGGUGCGUAACGCGUGGGAACCUGCCCUUAGGUUCGGAAUAACUCCCCGAAAGGGGUGCUAAUACCGGAUAAUGUCUUCGGACCAAAGAUUUAUCGCCUUUGGAUGGGCCCGCGUUGGAUUAGCUAGUUGGUAGGGUAAAAGCCUACUAAGGCGACGAUCCAUAGCUGGUCUGAGAGGAUGAUCAGCCACACUGGGACUGAGACACGGCCCAGACUCCUACGGGAGGCAGCAGUGGGGAAUAUUGGACAAUGGGCGAAAGCCUGAUCCAGCAAUGCCGCGUGAGUGAUGAAGGCCUUAGGGUUGUAAAGCUCUUUUACCCGGGAUGAUAAUGACAGUACCGGAAGAAUAAGCUCCGGCUAACUCCGUG